UACGUAGGGCCCGAGCAUUAUCCGGAAUUAUUGGGCGUAAAGAGCGUGUAGGUGUUCCUACAAGUCGGUCGUUAAAUCUCAGAGCUCAACUCUGAGGCCGCGAGCGAAACUGUAGGAAUUGAGGUUUACAGGGGCAAGCAUAAUUUCUGGAGUAGGGGUGAAAUCCGCAGAUAUCAGGAGGAACACCAAUGGCGAAGGCAGCACUCUGGGACGUGACUGACGCUGAGACGCGAAAGCGUGGGGAGCAAACAGG
This 253-nucleotide ribosomal RNA is filed under the name uncultured bacterium. RNAcentral describes it as "partial 16S ribosomal RNA". It matches the Rfam family "Bacterial small subunit ribosomal RNA", at positions 524 to 776 of the family's 1533-position model. The record is from RNAcentral.